Rosa chinensis is the source of this 1525-nucleotide RNA transcript. It is a transcript of the gene named fruit protein pKIWI502, with no coding region annotated. The record is from RefSeq and is a predicted model, not a curated record. NCBI's taxonomy places the organism in Eukaryota, Viridiplantae, Streptophyta, Magnoliopsida, Rosales, Rosaceae. The transcript has 7 exons.
GACCAAAAUUUUUAGCACUAGUGACCAUUUAUGUUGGGUCAUUGAUUUUUCUAGACUUUAUAACAUGUGGUUUGGCUAUAGUGACCAAAACUUUUCAACUGAUUGGAGGGAAUUUUUCUCUUCAAUCCUAGAGUAGGCGGGUUGGUUUCAAAAUUAAAAACCAAAUUAUUUCACGAGCGCGGCAUUCAAUUAAAGUCUGACACAAUUUAUACCCAAAAUAUAUAUAUAUAUAUAUAUAUAAUCCCUAGUUCACCGAGAUGAAACCCUUUUAUCUUCAUCGUCCUCUUCCCUCACUCCUCAAUCUUCUCGCUAACAGAACGCUUUUGCUUCAUGGUCCAUCGCUGAGCUGCUUGUGCGGGUUGAAGAAGGGGGACGUUGUGGAGCUAACCCAGGAUAUGGGGAAAGGCUUCGAGGCUAAUCAGAUCCAACCGUUGGAAAAUUAUGCUACGGUUCUAAUUUUCACAACGGGAUCUGGAAUCAGUCCAAUCAGGUCUCUGAUUGAAUCAGGGUUUAAUGUUGAUAAGGGAUUCGACGUGAAGCUCUUUUAUGGGGCCAGAAACCUUGACAGAAUGGCUUAUCAGGUCUGUAAUAAUGUUGUUCUUGUUCAUUUUCAUGUGUUUUCUAGGGUUGUAUUUUCUUUUUCGAUUUGUGACUACUUUUGUUUGAUUGAUGUCUGCAAUGUGCCUUUCGCUUUAUUUUAAGUAUGGGUUUGUAUGCUGCAUUAAUCGCGUUCGCCAAAAGUCAAACGACUGCAAUCACAGGGCUUUUGAUUUGAAGGAUGUUAAAAAGAUGAAGAUGAAUCAUUGAGGCAAUACUCAAACCAUUGCUGCUGUCGACCUGAGUUCGCUUGAGUAUAUAUUUUUUUGCCUAUGUGUAGGUCUGCUUAAAGAAGCUUUCAGGACAAAAGGGUGAACCUCUCUGUCUUCUCAGAUAUCCUUACUUUCAAAUGUUUGCCAAUGUCUUGGAUAAUUGAAUAGGGAAUACUAAAUUGUAAUUGAGGAAAUGAAAUGCGAGCUAGUUGGACUCAUCAUUGGGGUUUCUAUAGGGGUAGUGAUUGGAGUGCUUUUGGUAAUUUCUGGACUGGUGAGAAUGGACUCAGUUGCUUGAGUUGUUACAACUUCUUCAUCUUCAACUCUGGGGUGGCUCCAUGCUUUACAAACCGUUUGGAUGUUGCAUGGUAACAAGUCAAACAACAGAUUUGAAAUUCUCAUCCUUGCAACUAAGAUGCAUGACCUAUAUGUAUGAAGGCACAAGUGGAAGAAUGGUGAAGAGGGUCGUCAUUUCAGAGGUAGAUAUAUCAAAGCACAUCAAUUACAACCGUUAUAUGUGACAGAGUUGCAAAAGUUUGUCCAUCUUUCUCUUGGAUUUUGCUGUCAUGGAAGUAUUGAAAUUGUUGUAGGCUUUUAAAUUAGUUUUUAAGUGACAUGUAUUUUAAACAUGAUCAAUAAGUGAUAAUGUGGAUUGUCUUCAGCAAUACAAUGUAUUUAGUUAUUGUUCUAUUAUAUAGAAGUUUGAUUAGUAUUAA